Molecule: ribosomal RNA, 686 nt
Filed under: uncultured bacterium
Lineage: Bacteria
Description: bacterial SSU rRNA
Rfam family: Bacterial small subunit ribosomal RNA
Source: RNAcentral
UNGGAGAGGAAAGUGGAAUUCCUAGUGUAGCGGUGAAAUGCGUAGAUAUUAGGAAGANCACCAGUGGCGAAGGCGACUUUCUGGACGAAAACUGACGCUGAGGCGCGAAAGCCAGGGGAGCGAACGGGAUUAGAUACCCCGGUAGUCCUGGCCGUAAGCGAUGGGUACUAGGUGUAGGAGGUAUCGACCCCUUCUGUGCCGGAGUUAACGCAAUAAGUACCCCGCCUGGGGAGUACGACCGCAAGGUUGAAACUCAAAGGAAUUGACGGGGGCCCGCACAAGCGGUGGAGUAUGUGGUUUAAUUCGACGCAACGCGAAGAACCUUACCAGGUCUUGACAUUGAUGGACAGAACCAGAGAUGGUUCCUCUUCUUCAGAAGCCAGAAAACAGGUGGUGCACGGUUGUCGUCAGCUCGUGUCGUGAGAUGUUGGGUUAAGUCCCGCAACGAGCGCAACCCCUAUCUUAUGUUGCCAGCACUUUGGGUGGGGACUCAUGAGAGACUGCCGCAGACAAUGCGGAGGAAGGCGGGGAUGACGUCAAAUCAUCAUGCCCCUUAUGACCUGGGCUACACACGUACUACAAUGGGAGUUAAUAGACGGAAGCGAGAUCGCGAGAUGGAGCAAACCCGAGAAACACUCUCUCAGUUCGGAUCGUAGGCUGCAACUCGCCUACGUGAAGUCGGAAUC